UGUAAACUAUCAAAUACAUUCGAUACACAUA
This 31-nucleotide non-coding RNA is filed under the name Mus musculus (house mouse). The record is from RNAcentral. Lineage: Eukaryota; Metazoa; Chordata; Mammalia; Rodentia; Muridae.